UAGGGAAUCUUCCGCAAUGGGCGAAAGCCUGACGGAGCAACGCCGCGUGAGUGAAGAAGGAUUUCGGUUCGUAAAGCUCUGUUGUUAGGGAAGAAUGAUUGUGUAGUAACUAUACACAGUAGAGACGGUACCUAACCAGAAAGCCACGGCUAACUACGUGCCAGCAGCCGCGGUAAUACGUAGGUGGCAAGCGUUGUCCGGAAUUAUUGGGCGUAAAGCGCGCGCAGGUGGUUUAAUAAGUCUGAUGUGAAAGCCCACGGCUCAACCGUGGAGGGUCAUUGGAAACUGUUAAACUUGAGUGCAGGAGAGAAAAGUGGAAUUCCUAGUGUAGCGGUGAAAUGCGUAGAGAUUAGGAGGAACACCAGUGGCGAAGGCGGCUUUUUGGCCUGUAACUGACACUGAGGCGCGAAAGCGUGGGGAGCAAACAGGAUGAGAUACCCCGGGGUUGUCCACGCCGUAAACGAUGAGUGCUAAGUGUUGGUCUCAUAAGAGAUCAGUGCUGCAGCUAACGCAUUAAGCACUCCGCCUGGGGGGUACGACCGCAAGGUUG
RNAcentral lists this ribosomal RNA (550 nucleotides) under uncultured bacterium. RNAcentral's name for it is "bacterial SSU rRNA". It matches the Rfam family "Bacterial small subunit ribosomal RNA", at positions 355 to 896 of the family's 1533-position model. The record is from RNAcentral.